This 759-nucleotide ribosomal RNA is filed under the name uncultured Enterobacteriaceae bacterium. Its description in RNAcentral is "bacterial SSU rRNA". It matches the Rfam family "Bacterial small subunit ribosomal RNA", at positions 28 to 776 of the family's 1533-position model. The record is from RNAcentral. Lineage: Bacteria; Pseudomonadati; Pseudomonadota; Gammaproteobacteria; Enterobacterales; Enterobacteriaceae.
AUUGAACGCUGGCGGCAGGCCUAACACAUGCAAGUCGAGCGGCAGCGGAAAGUAGCUUGCUACUUUGCCGGCGAGCGGCGGACGGGUGAGUAAUGUCUGGGAAACUGCCUGAUGGAGGGGGAUAGCUACUGGAAACGGUAGCUAAUACCGCAUGACCUCGAAAGAGCAAAGUGGGGGGUCUUCGGACCUCACGCCAUCGGAUGUGCCCAGAUGGGAUUAGCUAGUAGGUGAGGUAAUGGCUCACCUAGGCGACGAUCCCUAGCUGGUCUGAGAGGAUGACCAGCCACACUGGAACUGAGACACGGUCCAGACUCCUACGGGAGGCAGCAGUGGGGAAUAUUGCACAAUGGGCGCAAGCCUGAUGCAGCCAUGCCGCGUGUGUGAAGAAGGCCUUAGGGUUGUAAAGCACUUUCAGCGAGGAGGAAGGCAUCACACUUAAUACGUGUGGUGAUUGACGUUACUCGCAGAAGAAGCACCGGCUAACUCCGUGCCAGCAGCCGCGGUAAUACGGAGGGUGCAAGCGUUAAUCGGAAUUACUGGGCGUAAAGCGCACGCAGGCGGUUUGUUAAGUCAGAUGUGAAAUCCCCGCGCUUAACGUGGGAACUGCAUUUGAAACUGGCAAGCUAGAGUCUUGUAGAGGGGGGUAGAAUUCCAGGUGUAGCGGUGAAAUGCGUAGAGAUCUGGAGGAAUACCGGUGGCGAAGGCGGCCCCCUGGACAAAGACUGACGCUCAGGUGCGAAAGCGUGGGGAGCAAACAGG